CAAUAAGUUUGCUCAAAUUUGUAUUAAUGCUAUGGAGUAAUUUGCUUAUUUCAAAUUAACGCCAGUCCUUUAAUAUCCAUAUUUAUUAUCGAUAGAGGGAAAGGGUCCUUUCAAUUUCAUUCGGCAAGUUUUACCACCAUAUUUAAGUUUAUUUCCCACUUGCUACAUAUCUACUUAUAUCGUCACUUAGAAAAUGUAAUGCUGACGUCCACAGUAACUAAUGUAAUAUAUUGUUUAGUAUAUAACCGUACUUAAUAUUUUGUUGUGGUCGAACUUUUAAAACCAAACAAGUCAGUGCUCUGUUAAGUCACACUUGGUCAUAAUGAAGCAAGCUUAAUCUAAUAAUCUUAGCUAAUUUCAACACCGAAUAAUAGCCAACAAUGUUAGUUUUAGAACGAUAGUGAAGAUGUGGAGUUGCCCUUGCGUUGCAGCCGGAAUUCUGCUCUUAUUCAGUCUGAAUCUGGUCUUUCCUUUCUGCUGCCAGAAACAAACUAUUGCCAUUUAAAAAACUGCCCAGCGGAUAAAAAACUGCCACAUAUUGGCUGCAAUAACAGUGGGCUCAGCAGCAGGUGAAUCUUUGGAAUCUUUCUUGUUUUCAUUUGCAGCAUGAAACAAGCGAAAUACAUUCAUACUAUUAAGUCACACUUGGUCAUAAUGAAGCAAGCUUAAUCUAAUAAUCUUAGCUAAUUUCAACACCGAAUAAUAGCCAACAAUGUUAGUUUUAGAACGAUAGUGAAGAUGUGGAGUUGUCCUUGCGUUGCAGUCGGAUUGCUGCUCAUAUUCAGUCUGAAUCUGGUCUUUCUGCUGCCGGAAACGAACUAUUGCCAUUUAAAAAACUGCCCAGUGGAUAAAAAACUGCCACAUAUUGGCUGCAAUAACAGUGGGGUAAGGGUUCAAGUAAAUCCAUUCCCCACUCCAAACGACGACUGUGUCGCCAGCCCUGUUGCCGCGCCCACUCUAACGCCUUUAAAGCUCCGUAAACUUCCACGCCCGCAGUUGUGAAUAUUACAUUUAAAUUUCUCAUUUGUCUUUUCAAUUUCUAUUGACAUGCUGAAAAUGUUAGACAUGCCUACAAGCCGCCCAUAACCACCACACAAACACAUGUACAUUUAUUUUCGAUUUAUUAAAAUUAAUUUUUUCUUGCCAA
Molecule: long non-coding RNA, 1147 nt
Organism: Drosophila yakuba
Lineage: Eukaryota; Metazoa; Arthropoda; Insecta; Diptera; Drosophilidae
Exons: 2
Source: RefSeq, a predicted model, not a curated record